Molecule: ribosomal RNA, 439 nt
Filed under: uncultured Bacteroidota bacterium
Lineage: Bacteria; Pseudomonadati; Bacteroidota
Description: bacterial SSU rRNA
Rfam family: Bacterial small subunit ribosomal RNA
Source: RNAcentral
CGGCAGGCCUAACACAUGCAAGUCGAGGGGUAACAGGAAAGCUUGCUUUCGCUGACGACCGGCGCACGGGUGCGUAACGCGUAUGCAACCUACCUCAUACUGGAGAAUAGCCCCUGGAAACGGGGAUUAAUACUCCAUGGUAUCAUUCUUUCGCAUGUUAGAAUGAUUAAAGAAUUUCGGUAUGAGAUGGGCAUGCGUCCCAUUAGCUAGUUGGUGAGGUAACGGCUCACCAAGGCGACGAUGGGUAGGGGGCCUGAGAGGGUGGUCCCCCACACUGGUACUGAGACACGGACCAGACUCCUACGGGAGGCAGCAGUGAGGAAUAUUGGUCAAUGGAGGCAACUCUGAACCAGCCAUGCCGCGUGAAGGAUGACGGCCCUAUGGGUUGUAAACUUCUUUUGAAUAGGAAGAAACUUAUCUACGUGUAGAUAACUGACGG